CCUGUGCAGUCUCCAGCAGUUGCACACUUCUGGCCACAUUCGGUGUCAUGGUAUUUAGAAGAAACGCCAGAACAGUAGAGUUCUCCAUUCUCCAUUGAGCCAUAUCCUGCUCAUUAUUAGCAGGUUUUCUCUUUGUGCCGGUGAGAUAUCCCUCCAAACCUCAUCCUUGUACAAGUAGACGAGUGCUCCUCUCCCAUUGUAAAUAUGUCGCUGGGCCAUCAAGUUUUACAGCCACUUGAAGAGCAUUCAGCGAUCCACUAUCUCUUGACGAACCCCCU
RNAcentral lists this long non-coding RNA (278 nucleotides) under Elaeis guineensis (African oil palm). RNAcentral's name for it is "long non-coding RNA (EGUI_LNC026710)". The record is from RNAcentral. Lineage: Eukaryota; Viridiplantae; Streptophyta; Magnoliopsida; Arecales; Arecaceae.